AUACGGAGGGUGCAAGCGUUAAUCGGAAUUACUGGGCGUAAAGCGCACGCAGGCGGUUUGUUAAGUCAGAUGUGAAAUCCCCGGGCUCAACCUGGGAACUGCAUCUGAUACUGGCAAGCUUGAGUCUCGUAGAGGGGGGUAGAAUUCCAGGGGUAGCGGUGAAAUGCGUAGAGAUCUGGAGGAAUACCGGUGGCGAAGGCGGCCCCCUGGACGAAGACUGACGCUCAGGUGCGAAAGGGUGGGGAGCAAACAGGAUUAGAUACCCUGGUAGUCCACGCCGUAAACGAUGUCGACUUGGAGGUUGUGCCCUUGAGGCGUGGCUUCCGGAGCUAACGCGUUAAGUCGACCGCCUGGGGAGUACGGCCGCAAGGUUAAAACUCAAAUGAAUUGGCGGGG
RNAcentral lists this ribosomal RNA (396 nucleotides) under uncultured bacterium. RNAcentral's name for it is "partial 16S ribosomal RNA". It matches the Rfam family "Bacterial small subunit ribosomal RNA", at positions 523 to 918 of the family's 1533-position model. The record is from RNAcentral.